Non-coding RNA from Sporisorium reilianum SRZ2, 92 nucleotides. The record is from Rfam. NCBI's taxonomy places the organism in Eukaryota, Fungi, Basidiomycota, Ustilaginomycetes, Ustilaginales, Ustilaginaceae.
GGGGGUUUAGCUCAGUUGGUAGAGCGUUCGCUUAGCAUUUUCAAAUGUGUCUAAAUUGCGAAAGGUCACGUGUUCGACUCAUGCAGUCUCCA